AUACGGAGGAUCCAAGCGUUAUCCGGAUUUAUUGGGUUUAAAGGGUGCGUAGGCGGCCUAUUAAGUCAGGGGUGAAAGACGGUAGCUCAACUAUCGCAGUGCCCUUGAUACUGAUGGGCUUGAAUGAACUAGAGGUAGGCGGAAUGUGACAAGUAGCGGUGAAAUGCAUAGAUAUGUCACAGAACACCGAUUGCGAAGGCAGCUUACUAUGGUUUUAUUGACGCUGAGGCACGAAAGCGUGGGGAUC
This 247-nucleotide ribosomal RNA is filed under the name uncultured bacterium. Its description in RNAcentral is "partial 16S ribosomal RNA". It matches the Rfam family "Bacterial small subunit ribosomal RNA", at positions 523 to 769 of the family's 1533-position model. The record is from RNAcentral.